This 1093-nucleotide long non-coding RNA is filed under the name Zonotrichia albicollis (white-throated sparrow). RNAcentral describes it as "lncRNA (ENSZALG00000007345.1)". The record is from RNAcentral. Lineage: Eukaryota; Metazoa; Chordata; Aves; Passeriformes; Passerellidae.
CUCUGUGUGGGCUGCGAGCUCAGGUGGCACUUGGCAGAAGCACAGGCUGUGAGCACAGCGUGGAGAGAUGCUGCUAUGGACAUGUAUCUAUUGCAAGGAGAAGUACAUGGGCUGGCUUUUGUUGUGCAGAGGAGAGAUGGAAGGGAUAUGCAUGCAAACAGACCUGGUAUAAUUCCCCUUUUCCUUCCUGUUCACCAGGUGCUCCCAGAGGUGCCCAUCAUGAGAUCUCCUUGCGACAGAGAGAGGAGACUGAUCACCAUUUUCAUGCGCAACAAGAAGAACCACAGAAUACAAGUAAAGGAAGGGCAAGACUUACCUGCAAAUACAAACAAUGCAUAGCUCCUGCAUGGCACUUUUUCCAUUUGGGUGUCCAGUGGCUUUAAGAGCAAGGUCAUGGUCUGUAAGAUCUUGGGGUAAUGGCUCGUCCAUGACAAAUACCAGUGGCAGAGACACAAGGGGGCCAUCUCAGGACCACUAAGCAGGAGAAGGCAGAAUUGGGGAUCCUGUAAAAAAUGCUGUGCAGUUCAUUGUACAUGCAAACUGGCAGCCCCCACAGAGCAAUGCAGUCUCACCACAGGCAUCUCAGCUCACCAGUCUGAACAAUUUCCAAAGGAAAACCAUUCCAGAAGCUUGCUACUCCUCAUUUUUUCUCUUCCCUUGUUUUUCCUAUUUGUCUGCUCCAUUGCCAUUUCUGCAAACACUGAAAGCACCAAGCAUAUUCCUGAAAGGAAUAUGUAGGCAGAUGUAAGACAAAGCAACACACUGCUAAUUGUAGGGCAUGAAAGGUAUGCAGCACUUGCCAGGACAGAACUAAUUUUUGUCUGUACAGCUGCAGUUUUUAUCAGAGCAGAUAAGCAGUUUACAGCAAGUAAAACACUAUUUUCUUACUCUCUGCAUGGGAGUCUGCUAUAGCAGGAUGGCUCUGCAAGCAUUUGGGAAGGCAAUGCCAGAGAAAUGAGCUAAAGCAUAGCAGUGUCAUACAAACACAUCUUUAACCUGGGUGCUCAGAGGGUGCUCAGUACACCAUGCUACACCAUGGUAGGAGAGGGGAUGGUCACAUCUCCAGCAGGAGAAAUCCCUGCUCCUGAGGAAG